CGAUCUAAUCGUUGGACUGCGGAGGAUACUGUCCGGCUUGGGGGCGAGAGAGGCCGACGGUAUUUCCGGGGUAGGGGUGAAAUCCUAUAAUCCCGGGAGGACCACCAGUGGCGAAGGCUGUCGGCUAGAGCGCGCUCGACGGUGAGGGAUGAAAGCUGGGGGAGCGAACCGGAUUAGAUACCCGGGUAGUCCCAGCUGUAAACGAUGCAGGCUAGGUGUUAGGGCGGCUACGUGCCGCUCUAGUGCCGCAGGGAAGCUGUUAAGCCUGCCGCCUGGGGAGUACGGCUGCAAGGCUGAAACUUAAAGGAAUUGGCGGGGGAGCACCACAAGGCGUGAAGCUUGCGGUUUAAUUGGAGUCAACGCCGGAAAUCUCACCGGGGGCGACAGCAGGAUGAAAGCCAGAUUAAAGGUCUUGCCAGACGAGCUGAGAGGAGGUGCAUGGCCGUCGCCAGUUCGUGCCGUGAGGUGUCCUGUUAAGUCAGGCAACGAUCGAGACCCGCACCCCCCGUUGCUAUUAGCCUCGAGCUAAGCACACUGGGGAGACCGCCGCCGAUAAGGCGGAGGAAGGAGCGGGCCACGGCAGGUCAGUAUGCCCCGAAUCUCCCGGGCCACACGCGAGCUGCAAUGGCAGGUACAAUGGGUUCCGACCUCGAAAGGGGGAGGCAAUCUCGAAAGCCUGCCGUAGUUGGGAUCGAGGGUUGAAACCCACCCUCGUGAACAUGG
RNAcentral lists this ribosomal RNA (723 nucleotides) under uncultured crenarchaeote. RNAcentral describes it as "bacterial SSU rRNA". It matches the Rfam family "Archaeal small subunit ribosomal RNA", at positions 555 to 1285 of the family's 1478-position model. Lineage: Archaea; Thermoproteati; Thermoproteota. The record is from RNAcentral.